GGCAGAGAGAGGUGAGCAAAGGCUGCGGCCGGGGCGUGAGCCUGAGUGCCGGCUAGCCUCCUGGCUGCGCGCAGAGCUGCCGGGAGGCGGGUGCGAAUGCAGGCUGAGCUCGGAAAAGCUGUGACCUGAGCCGGAGACACUUUGGGGAUGUGAUCCUGGCCCGUGCCCUGAAGGCAGUCCCAGGAGAAUAUUGCCGGCUUUAAGGGAAGUUUUCUGCAAAGUGCCUGAUGGCUGGCGUUUGGGCCAGGCUGCUCGAAGGGACUAGAUCUGAGAACAGAGUAAAGCUGCUGAAAGACGUGAAGAAAGAUAAAGAAGAGAAGGAAGUCAUUGCCAGAACGUCAGGCCAGGAAAGAGGGC
Phyllostomus hastatus (greater spear-nosed bat) is the source of this 357-nucleotide long non-coding RNA. RefSeq lists it as uncharacterized. The transcript is spliced from 3 exons. The record is from RefSeq and is a predicted model, not a curated record. NCBI's taxonomy places the organism in Eukaryota, Metazoa, Chordata, Mammalia, Chiroptera, Phyllostomidae.